Molecule: ribosomal RNA, 428 nt
Filed under: uncultured bacterium
Lineage: Bacteria
Description: bacterial SSU rRNA
Rfam family: Bacterial small subunit ribosomal RNA
Source: RNAcentral
GUCGAGAAUCUUCCGCAAUGGGCGAAAGCCUGACGGAGCAAUGCCGCGUGAGGGAUGACAGUCUUCGGACCGUAAACCUCUGUCACCCGGGACGAAAUCAAUGACGGUACCGGGAGAGGAAGCCAUGGCUAACUACGUGCCAGCAGCCGCGGUAAUACGUAGAUGGCGAGCGUUAUUCGGAUUUACUGGGCGUAAAGGGUCCGCAGGGGGCCUGUCAAGCCCGCCGUGAAACCCCGGGGCUCAACCCCGGGACUGCGGUGGGGACUGCCGGGCUAGAGUGUGUGAUGGGCAGACGGAACACCUGGUGUAGCGGUGGAAUGCGUAGAUAUCAGGUGGAACACCGAUGGCGAAGGCGGUCUGCUGGCACAUCACUGACCCUCAGGGACGAAAGCGUGGGUAGCGAACAGGAUUAGAAACCCCGGUAGUCC